UGGUGGUGGCACAAAAUCGGAGGCCCCGACUGUUUACUAAAAACACAAUUCAGAGCAAUGAUGUAAAUCAUAGUAUUCUGGAUGAAAUUUGCCCAAUGCCAUUAACAUAAGAGAGGUAAUGGGAAACUGUUACUAAUUGAAAGUCUGGUUAAUAGCGGUCUUAACUAUGAGGAUCCUAAGGUAGCAAAAUCAGUUGGCCAUUAAAUGUGGUCUGGUAUCAAUAGUGUAACGAUGGUCUCACUGUCUCUACAACUUGCUCAGUGAAAUUGAAUUACCCGUGCAGAUGCGGGUUACCUCCAGGUGGACGGGAAGACCCUAUGCAGCUUCUACUGA
RNAcentral lists this ribosomal RNA (333 nucleotides) under uncultured Thelephorales. RNAcentral's name for it is "LSU rRNA". It matches the Rfam family "Bacterial large subunit ribosomal RNA", at positions 1771 to 2107 of the family's 2925-position model. The record is from RNAcentral. Lineage: Eukaryota; Fungi; Basidiomycota; Agaricomycetes; Thelephorales.